This 567-nucleotide long non-coding RNA is filed under the name Chinchilla lanigera (long-tailed chinchilla). RNAcentral describes it as "lncRNA (ENSCLAG00000028637.1)". The record is from RNAcentral. Lineage: Eukaryota; Metazoa; Chordata; Mammalia; Rodentia; Chinchillidae.
AUGCAGGACAGUCUCUCCAGGGCUGAGGGCUCUGGUCCACUCCUAGCAGGAAGGAAAUGGGAAGGUGUUUCCUUUUCCUCCAACACCUUUGAGGCUGUAGAAGAAACCCUAGGCUUGGUCACACCUGCCCUUGUGACAUCAUGGGCAUCUCUUCCUAUAUCAGCUGUCCUGCUCCUGCCCAGCUUACAGGAGCAGCAAGCAGAAGGGGAUGAUCACCUAAGACCUGCGCCCCUCCAUUAUGGGAAAUAGCUGUGCCCCAGAAGUAGAAGUAAUACAGGUAGAACAGAAAAGAACACAACCGCAGGUAGGUGGGUCCAAGGAGCAUAAAAGAACUGCACGCUUUAAGGUCACUAAAAUGGAGGAGCCAUCUCUGGUCUCACAAGGGUUGGCUGAGCAUUGCUUUGCAUCUACCUAAUCCUCUCCCUCUCCUGAGUGAACUGUUCACAGCACGUACAGCAGUGAGGCCCAGCACAGCAGGUGGUAGAAAGACAAGUAAGGGCUGGCCUGGGUCUGCAGGGGGAUGGAGUGACUAGACGUAGGCACAGAUGUCAGUGGAAGCAAAGAGAG